Athalia rosae (coleseed sawfly) is the source of this 3106-nucleotide RNA transcript. RefSeq lists it as uncharacterized. The record is from RefSeq and is a predicted model, not a curated record. The transcript has 2 exons. NCBI's taxonomy places the organism in Eukaryota, Metazoa, Arthropoda, Insecta, Hymenoptera, Athaliidae.
AUCAAUUUGUUUGACUUGUCAGUCGGUUUAUAGUUCUUUAAAAAUAAAGAAAUAGUUUGCAACUUAUCUUUACAAAUUGAUCAUGUAGGUUCCGUAGAAUAUUACAAUUUCCAAUAAUGGCGAUCGGCGUCUCGUCAGACCCUCACGUUCGAUGUUCGUUUUCGUAGAUUAUAUAAAGGUUGCAAUAUUUAAUAAAUUAUUGCGUUUCACCGUUCUUUUGUAUUAACGUUGAAAAUAUAACUAUUCGUGACUGAUACUUUGUUUAUGCGUUUAAAUUAAUAAUUCAAGAUUGUAAAAGAAAUUGAAUCUCAAAUUUGUACUGAUACGAGGAAUAACAGUUAUGUUUACAGUCGGGCGUCUUCUCGUAGUGUUCUAGUUUCACCUUUUCUGUUAAGCAGAUUUUUCUUUGUUCGUAAAUUUGCUUCAAGUUGUCAUAUAUUGUAAUUACCUCUCUAGUCAAGAGUUAGGCGCGUACAUUUAAGCCUUACAGUACACCUGAAGAGUGUCAGGUGCGGCGAAAAACUUUUUUGUAAUAUUUUCAAAACAGUAUAAUUUUGACCACUGGUUGUGCAGUCGUUCUGUGCUUAGUUGUUGGGGGUUGGUCGAGAACCAAAAAAAUCUCGGGUGGCGCCAAAAUCGGUGCUCCAUGCGCAGAAACUUGUCCCGCUUCAGCGAGAACACCCUAUUCAUAGCUCAAACCUGGUUGAAUUUGACUCCAAGAAAUGAAAGAAAAAAAUCGAGAAUUCGAAAAUUUUACUGCGCGUUGCCAUUAUUACUAAAGAAAGGUAGUCCGUGAAAGUUAUGAUUGAGAAAAGAAAAAAGAAAAAAGAAAACAGAAAGAAAAAGGUGUGUUAAUAUUAUCUUUGACUUUGGGGUCUGCGUCGAUUGGUUUAAAAAUUAUUAUGCGGACAGAACACAAACAGCAUGACAGCAAUAAAUAUUCAAUAAAUAUAUUUAACGGCACAAUCUUUAUUCAAUAGUCUAAUAGGGUCGACUUGGAUCGUAGAUUAAAAAGAAUGUUCUCUAACGUGGAUCACUCGUGCACUGUCAUUGGUUUUCUUGUAUGUAUUAAUUGUCAGUUGACGUCGGUAUAUUAAAAUUUUAGUGCCACUAAUUCUGCGCGAGCUCGACCUCCUUUCGUCGUAACACCUUAUUGUCUAAUGUUACCAUUCGACUUAUUGUCCAAAAUCCACCUUCCUUCCCCACCAUUCUUCUUAUUCUUUCUCUUUCUCACUUCUUUCUAUUAUACUCGUUACAAAGGUUUCCGAUGAAAUUAAUGAUUCUCGGAAUUCUUAGGCCCCCCCAAUUCUUUCGACAAUGUCCAAUUCUGGGAACUAUAUUUGACAGUGGAGAGGUAGAGAAUUUUGAGGUGACAUCGGAAAAUGAAAAAAAAAUUACGUCUUUCCUGCAAACAUACAUCGAAUAUAUUCAACAGGUGCAUGCGCUUGUGGCACGCAGCUCAAAUGCGUGAUCGAUAAUUCUGCGCAAUGGAAUGUGAAAAUAAAGUGUUUCCUACAAAUGGGUACUGGCCGGACAUGUAGCAAACUUCAUCUCAGAGAUCCCAUCCGCAGUGACAUCGGCGCAAAGUUAUGUCAAACAUCUGCUGUGGUAUUGCGUACAGAAAUGGUGGAUCAUCUCAUGAAUUCUAAAGAUAAACAUCAAACAAACGUGAUGAAGGUGGCCAAAAAUGAAUUCGUGGCAUCUCAAUACCUUGAUGCGGAUCCACGUCGAGCAUUAGAUAUCAUGAUGGAGACAUCUAUGAAGGAUAUCAUCCAUAACGUGGGGAUGAACCGAUUCAUAGUACACUAUUGGACCAACCACCAAUUACACGUCUACCGCUCGUACACGAAGAGAUGCCCGCCGUCGGUGUACAUUGAUGCCACUGGAAGUAUCAUCAGACGCAUCGAGCGAUCCGAUGGGUCCAAGUCACAUCACAUAUUUCUAUACAUAUGCGUCGUUAACGAUAAUGGCAAUCAAUUUUCCGUCUCUCAAAUGUUGAGCGAAAGUCACCAUACGGAUACCAUUAUGUCUUGGCUCUCGGCAUGGGCUCGUAAUGGUGCCCCUCAUCCACGGGAAGUUAUUUGUGAUUCCUCUAAGGCUCUGCUCACAGGCGUGAUAAAAACUUUCACCGGUACGUACGUACUCAAGUGCUGUAGUAGUCAUGGCUAGUUUCAUUCCACCCGAAUCACCGAAGGAUCAUGUUAUUAAAGGCGGGGAUUGGAAGUGAUUCUUCUGUGAAAGAGAUACACUUUGUUGCUAAUUCUUCUGCACGAUCCACAAUCACAAUUCUUUGUUCACAGAUUAUUCAACUAUUGAGCAAUACUCAAACACCUUCAGCACUGACGGUCGAAUAGCUCCUUCAUGCUACGUUAGAAUCGACGUCGCGCAUUUUAUAAAAAUGUACGCGAAUUUGCUGAUCGCAGGCAUUGACAAAAAUUCCCAUCAUGAAGAACGAGCACAGUCUGAGCGUUCAGGCUGUCAAAUUUGGAGGUUGUGAGUAUUCUUUUUCGAAUACGUGUGACUUUGAUAGCGUUUUGACGACGGUGUUAGUGGAUACUUGUGACCAUCCGGACGUAGAGCGAAAUAUGAUUAGCCGUAAAAAAGACGUUCCAUUGUUUGAACUCAUCCUGUCUAUAAUGCAAAAGGGCCUUCGUGCGCAUGCGUAUCGACAGCGGGCUGUGAUUUUAAAAGAUUUGUAUAGACACAGUAUAAAGCAAACGAAUGCGAAUAGCUAUAAAAUCGACUGUCGUGUUAAUGCUUGCUACCUCGUGACACUACUAUUCACCGAUGCGCCGAGUGUUGAAGAGGUUUCUAUCUGCGAAGGCGGUUGUCCACCCCGCCGCAAAAAACUGCGUAUCAUUGGAAUCCAACGAAAAGUGCUACAUGACCCGAGUUUCGAAGAUCUGCUAACCGAGCAUGUAGCAAUCACGGAUAAGCGGAAAUGCUGCCGCAAAGGAUGCUCAAGCAAUGAAACCACCAACUUUCCAAACACCGGCAAUUUUCACAAAUUCUCGUUUGAUUUCAUCCUACCAAGCCUCAAGACAAGUUAAAUGUAUAUUUGUAGUAUAUUGUCCCCUUUCUAUGUAACCACGUAACUGCAAGAAUU